Molecule: ribosomal RNA, 254 nt
Filed under: uncultured bacterium
Lineage: Bacteria
Description: partial 16S ribosomal RNA
Rfam family: Bacterial small subunit ribosomal RNA
Source: RNAcentral
CACGUAGGGUGCGAGCGUUGUCCGGAAUUAUUGGGCGUAAAGAGCUCGUAGGCGGUGUGUCGCGUCGGCCGUGAAAACCUGCAGCUUAACUGUGGGCUUGCGGUCGAUACGGGCAUCACUGGAGUUCGGCAGGGGAGACUGGAAUUCCUGGUGUAGCGGUGAAAUGCGCAGAUAUCAGGAAGAACACCCGUGGCGAAGGCGGUUCUCUGGGACGGUACUGGCGCUGAGACGCGAAAGCGUGGGGAGCGAACAGG